RNAcentral lists this ribosomal RNA (201 nucleotides) under uncultured Anaerolineaceae bacterium. RNAcentral's name for it is "partial 16S ribosomal RNA". It matches the Rfam family "Bacterial small subunit ribosomal RNA", at positions 1188 to 1380 of the family's 1533-position model. Lineage: Bacteria; Bacillati; Chloroflexota; Anaerolineae; Anaerolineales; Anaerolineaceae. The record is from RNAcentral.
GUCGAGCAUGACCUUUAUAUCCAGGGCUUACACACACGGCUACAAUGGUCAGUACAAUGGGUUGCCAAGCGCGAGGCGGAGCCAAUCCUAAAAAGCUGGACCUCAGUUCAGAUUGCAGUCUGAAACUCGACUGCAUGAAGUCGGAGUUGCUAGUAAACGCAGGGUCAGCUAUACUGCGUUGAAUACGUUCCCGGGGCCGUU